GAUGAACGCUAGCGGGAGGCUUAACACAUGCAAGUCGAGGGGUAAAUGGUAGCAAUACUAUGAGACCGGCGGACGGGUGCGUAACGCGUAUGCAACAUACCUUGUGCAGGGGGAUAGCCCGUGGAAACGCGGAUUAAUAUUCCAUAGUCCAGCUAUAUCGCAUGGUAUAGUUGGUAAAGAUUUAUCGGCACAAGUUUGGCAUGCGUCUGAUUAGCUUGUUGGUAGGGUAACGGCCUACCAAGGCUACGAUCAGUAGGGGUUCUGAGAGGAUUAACCCCCACACUGGUACUGAGACACGGACCAGACUCCUACGGGAGCAGCAGUGAGGAAUAUUGGUCAAUGGGCGGAAGCCUGAACCAGCCAUCCCGCGUGAAGGAAGACAGCCUUACGGGUUGUAAACUUCUUUUCUGUCAGAAGAAUAAGCUUGUCGAGACGAGUGAUGCCGGUAUGAACAGGAAUAAAGCAUCGGCUAACUCCGUGCCAGCAGCCGCGGUAA
RNAcentral lists this ribosomal RNA (496 nucleotides) under uncultured bacterium. RNAcentral describes it as "bacterial SSU rRNA". It matches the Rfam family "Bacterial small subunit ribosomal RNA", at positions 28 to 523 of the family's 1533-position model. The record is from RNAcentral.